This 253-nucleotide ribosomal RNA is filed under the name uncultured bacterium. RNAcentral's name for it is "partial 16S ribosomal RNA". It matches the Rfam family "Bacterial small subunit ribosomal RNA", at positions 524 to 776 of the family's 1533-position model. The record is from RNAcentral.
UACAGAGGUCUCAAGCGUUGUUCGGAUUCAUUGGGCGUAAAGGGUGCGUAGGUGGCGCUGUAAGUCGGGUGUGAAAUUUCGGAGCUUAACUCCGAAACUGCAUUCGAUACUGCGGUGCUUGAGGACUGGAGAGGAGACUGGAAUUCAUGGUGUAGCAGUGAAAUGCGUAGAUAUCAGGAGGAAUACCGAUGGCGAAGGCAGGUCUCUGGGCUGACACUGACGCUCAUGCACGAAAGCGUGGGGAGCAAACAGG